UACGUAGGUGGCAAGCGUUGUCCGGAAUUAUUGGGCGUAAAGAGCUCGUAGGCGGCCUGUCGCGUCGGAUGUGAAAGCCCGGGGCUUAACCCCGGGUCUGCAUUCGAUACGGGCAGGCUAGAGUUCGGUAGGGGAGAUCGGAAUUCCUGGUGUAGCGGUGAAAUGCGCAGAUAUCAGGAGGAACACCGGUGGCGAAGGCGGAUCUCUGGGCCGAUACUGACGCUGAGGAGCGAAAGCGUGGGGAGCGAACAGG
RNAcentral lists this ribosomal RNA (253 nucleotides) under uncultured bacterium. RNAcentral's name for it is "partial 16S ribosomal RNA". It matches the Rfam family "Bacterial small subunit ribosomal RNA", at positions 524 to 776 of the family's 1533-position model. The record is from RNAcentral.